UGGUGCCUGGUGGUGGUGGUGUUCGUCGAAUUGGGAGAGAUGAAGAUACAACAUGUCAACAUCAAUUAUAACUAUUGAAAGAUAUAGCUUCCAAUGACUGCUACAAAUUUUCUGAAAAUUGCUAAAGAUUGAGAAGUCUAAUUAGGUCACAUGUGAGACUUUGAUUGAGAGAGGGAGAGAGAGAGAGCAGAGCAGAGCAGAUGAUCGAAAAAAAUCAGAUAGAGAGUAACUAUAAAUCUAAGUUAUAGAUUUUCAUAAGAAUUAAAUCAAACGAAUAAAUUUGUACCUGACAAAAGCUUUGCAGAAGCUAUGGUGAUUGGGGGCGAACAAUUAUUAAGAAAAAUGAGAUCGAUUUGUUUGCUUUGGUGGUUUUUCGGAAAGCUUUAAGUAGGAAGAAUUAAGGU
Molecule: long non-coding RNA, 404 nt
Filed under: Aquilegia coerulea
Lineage: Eukaryota; Viridiplantae; Streptophyta; Magnoliopsida; Ranunculales; Ranunculaceae
Description: long non-coding RNA (ACOE_LNC002084)
Source: RNAcentral